AACGAACGCUGGCGGCAGGCCUAACACAUGCAAGUCGAGCGAGGACUUCGGUCCUAGCGGCGGACGGGUGAGUAACGCGUGGGAACGUGCCCUUUGCUUCGGAAUAGCCCUGGGAAACUGGGAGUAAUACCGGAUGAGCCCUUUGGGGGAAAGAUUUAUCGGCGAAGGAUCGGCCCGCGUUGGAUUAGGUAGUUGGUGGGGUAAUGGCCUACCAAGCCGACGAUCCAUAGCUGGUUUGAGAGGAUGAUCAGCCACACUGGGGCUGAGACACGGCCCAGACUCCUACGGGAGGGAGGAGAGGGGAAUCUUGGAAAAUGGGGGAAACCAUGAAGGAGCCAGGCCGGGUGAGCGAUGAAGGCCUUAGGGUAGAAAAGCCCUUUCAGCUGGGAAGAUAAUGACGGUACCGGAAGAAGAAGCCCCGGCUAACUCCGUG
Molecule: ribosomal RNA, 433 nt
Filed under: uncultured bacterium
Lineage: Bacteria
Description: partial 16S ribosomal RNA
Rfam family: Bacterial small subunit ribosomal RNA
Source: RNAcentral